CUCCCUGUGGCUCAGUUGGUAGAGCAUGGUGUUUGCAACGCCAGGAUUGUGGGUUCGAUUCCCAUGGGGGGC
This is a non-coding RNA of Salmo salar (Atlantic salmon), 72 nucleotides long. Lineage: Eukaryota; Metazoa; Chordata; Actinopteri; Salmoniformes; Salmonidae. The record is from Rfam.